Pelobates cultripes (western spadefoot toad) is the source of this 213-nucleotide non-coding RNA. NCBI's taxonomy places the organism in Eukaryota, Metazoa, Chordata, Amphibia, Anura, Pelobatidae. The record is from the annotation of a GenBank genome assembly.
GCUAACUCUUCUUUCUUCUUGCUGACCCUUCCUGCUCAUUUCUGUUUCUUUGUGCUCCUCCUCCUACUUUACCUUUUGUGCUCCUUGCUGUUUCUUCCAGCUCUUUGCUGCCCCUUUCUGUUCCUUGAUGUUCCUUCCUGCUCAUUUCUGUUCCUUCUCCUUCUCUUACUUUACCUUCCUGCUCCUUGCUCACCCUUCCUGUAGGCUGCCCCC